This 432-nucleotide ribosomal RNA is filed under the name uncultured Arthrobacter sp. RNAcentral describes it as "bacterial SSU rRNA". It matches the Rfam family "Bacterial small subunit ribosomal RNA", at positions 358 to 790 of the family's 1533-position model. Lineage: Bacteria; Bacillati; Actinomycetota; Actinomycetes; Micrococcales; Micrococcaceae. The record is from RNAcentral.
GGAAUAUUGCACAAUGGGCGAAAGCCUGAUGCAGCGACGCCGCGUGAGGGAUGACGGCCUUCGGGUUGUAAACCUCUUUCAGUAGGGAACAAGGCCAGCAUUUUUGUUGGUUGAGGGUACUUGCAGAAGAAGCGCCGGCUAACUACGUGCCAGCAGCCGCGGUAAUACGUAGGGCGCAAGCGUUAUCCGGAAUUAUUGGGCGUAAAGAGCUCGUAGGCGGUUUGUCGCGUCUGCCGUGAAAGUCCGGGGCUCAACUCCGGAUCUGCGGUGGGUACGGGCAGACUAGAGUGAUGUAGGGGAGACUGGAAUUCCUGGUGUAGCGGUGAAAUGCGCAGAUAUCAGGAGGAACACCGAUGGCGAAGGCAGGUCUCUGGGCAUUAACUGACGCUGAGGAGCGAAAGCAUGGGGAGCGAACAGGAUUAGAUACCCUUG